GAUGAACGCUGGCGGCGUGCCUAAUACAUGCAAGUCGAGCGAACGGACGAGAAGCUUGCUUCUCUGAUGUUAGCGGCGGACGGGUGAGUAACACGUGGAUAGCCUACCUAUAAGACUGGGAUAACUUCGGGAAACCGGAGCUAAUACCGGAUGAUAUUUUGAACCGCAUGGGUCAAAAGUGAAAGACGGUCUUGCUGUCACUUAUAGAUGGAUCCGCGCUGCAUUAGCUAGUUGGUAAGGUAACGGCUUACCAAGGCAACGAUGCAUAGCCGACCUGAGAGGGUGGUCGGCCACACUGGAACUGAGACACGGUCCAGACUCCUACGAGAGGCAGCAGUAGGGAAUCUUCCGCAAUGGGCGAAAGCCUGACGGAGCAACGCCGCGUGAGUGAUGAAGGUCUUCGGAUCGUAAAACUCUGUUAUUAGGGGAGAACAUAUGUGUAAGUAACUGUGCACAUCUUGACGGUACCUAGUCAGAAAGCCACGGCUAACUACGUG
RNAcentral lists this ribosomal RNA (497 nucleotides) under uncultured bacterium. Its description in RNAcentral is "partial 16S ribosomal RNA". It matches the Rfam family "Bacterial small subunit ribosomal RNA", at positions 28 to 507 of the family's 1533-position model. The record is from RNAcentral.